RNAcentral lists this ribosomal RNA (253 nucleotides) under uncultured bacterium. RNAcentral's name for it is "partial 16S ribosomal RNA". It matches the Rfam family "Bacterial small subunit ribosomal RNA", at positions 524 to 776 of the family's 1533-position model. The record is from RNAcentral.
GACGGAGGGUGCGAGCGUUAUUCGGAAUCAUUGGGCGUAAAGAGCGUGUAGGCGGCCGGUUAAGUCAGGAGUGAAAGCCCGGGGCUCAACCUCGGAAGUGCACUUGAAACUGGUCGGCUUGAGUUCGGGAGAGGGAAGCGGAAUUCCUGGUGUAGAGGUGAAAUUCGUAGAUAUCAGGAGGAACACCGGUGGCGAAGGCGGCUUCCUGGACCGAAAGUGACGAUGAGACGGGAAAGCGUUGGGAGCAAACAGG